GUGCCCUGUGGACGCCCUCCCUGUUUGAAAAAGUCACUCUGAAAGAUUUGGCAGGGAGGGUGCUCAUCUUCCUCGGCGCGGACGAAUGACACUACAAUGACAGAAGCCAUCAGAGUGGUGAUUGCAGCGACUGAGGAUCUCUCAAGGAGAAGAAGAGCUUUUAGACUGGCCAGGCAUGUUA
Non-coding RNA from Electrophorus electricus (electric eel), 181 nucleotides. NCBI's taxonomy places the organism in Eukaryota, Metazoa, Chordata, Actinopteri, Gymnotiformes, Gymnotidae. The record is from RefSeq and is a predicted model, not a curated record.